Molecule: long non-coding RNA, 861 nt
Filed under: Mytilus galloprovincialis (Mediterranean mussel)
Lineage: Eukaryota; Metazoa; Mollusca; Bivalvia; Mytilida; Mytilidae
Source: RNAcentral
UUUAAGCAUGCUCCACCAUUAUCUGCAUGGUAAUACUUACGAUGAAAAGGCGUGUCAUUUUCAUGCUGAUAAUUCUGUGGGACAAAACAAAAAUAAAACUACUUUACAUUAUCUGUUGUGGAGGUGCGCAAAGGGUUUACACAAAACUAUUAGUUUGCAUUUUAUGAUUGCUGGGCACACAGAAUGUUUAUGUGACGCAUGUUUAAUUUUGGCAUGUUGAAAAAGAAAUUUAGAAAGUCGGACGUAAACACUGUAUCACAACUGGUUAAAAUGUUGACAAUUCUGCCAAAUGCAAUAGGUCAGAAGUUUAUAAUGAAAAUGACGAUGACGAACACAGCUUAAAGUGGUACAGAUGGGGUAAUUUCUUCACUAAUUAUUUCAAACCACCCAGAGGUAUAGGAAAAUUCCAUCACUUCCGAUUUACCAGAGUCGUAUUUGCGAGAGAAACUCUUGAUCAACCGGAGAAAAGACUGGCUUUGCUUAAGGAAAGCACAAACGUACCGGAGUUGCUCACGACACUUCCAGAAGUUAUUCAGCCAGCAGGGCUGACAGAGAAGAGAAUGCGUUAUCUGUACAAUGAAGUCCGUCCUUUUUUCCAGUAUAAUUUCCGUGACGAAUUUUGUCCUCGUGCUUCAGAGGAGUAACAUUUCACAUGUACUGGUUACAGUUGGAUUGAAAACUAGAGAAUCAUUUAUGUUUUCAUUGUAACAAUCUUAUAAAAUAAAUUAAAUAUUGUAUACAAAUGCAUGUUUUCGUGGCUCUCUCUAUAACGAGAAAAGGACCGAUAAAGAAUAAAAUUAAUGCACGAUAAUGCUAAUUUCACGACGUUGUCGUGAGAUUCUGAAGUUAAAUAUAUGUAGC